CACGCGCUCUUCGGUAGGUGUGUUCCAGUGCUCGGCGAACACCGCUCUCUGCCACUCUGUUCUUACCGCCCCGGGCAAACAGGACACUCUUUGCUAUUGCUUUUGAGAGCGCAGGAGGUUGGAAGAGACUUGAGACUUGUGGUGUUGUUGUCCUCUACCGCUGCAGCAGGGGCCGCGGCGGGGCGCACACGCAGUGGCCGCCGUUGCCCAAGUAUCCGAGCACCGAGCAGUUCGACGAGGAGAGGGCGCCGAUGCGGCAGGUGCGGUGGCAGGCGCUGGGUGCACUAGGCUUCUUGCGCAAGGACUGCCUCGACCUGCCUCGGGGCCGCUUGGACGCCGACAAGUUCCGCCUGUACGAGCUGACGCUGUGCCAGCGCCGGCGCAAGCGGCCGACGCUCCCGCAGAAGGUACAGCGGUGAGGUCACGGGCUGGUUUUCUACCAACUAGGUGUCUUUCUCUACUACCUUGGACGACAGUUCCCGUGGUACUUACACGAGUUCCGGACGAGUCGAUGCUUUCAAGUAUUUGAGUAACACCAGAGCAGGUAGCGGUGAUUAUAGAAGUUGGGCCUGACCGGAGCUCUAUUUUAGUUUCUGCUCUCGACGACCAGUCUGUUCCUCAAGACGUCUGUCUGACUCUUGACCAUGAGAGAACGUUUCUGACUUCGGCUCCUCUACCGGGACCUUAUGCCUCUCUUCUUGCCCGACGUGCAGCAGCGUGAAACGGGACCAGACCAGAAGCCGGGAGACAACGUCGUACACCGCCAAUUAUGGUCGUCGUUCCAGGAGCAGAUGUACUAUUUUCUAAGGUGAGGAGUCGAGUAGAUAGUGUUCCUAUGUAUUAGUAAAACAUGUAACGUGUAGUGUACACCAAUCUCCAAUCAUGAAAACCUUUGGUUUCGGCCAACAAAAGGAAGGUAAAACGACAAAAACAACAGCUUCACGUCGUCUCGCUACUUCAAGUCUUGUUUUUAACUGCGGCCUCCUCGAGGAGCCGAAAAUAUAAUUAUCACUCCGGGACUGUGCUACUUGUUGUUCAAGAAAGGGUAGCAUCUGCAAGCGCUACAAUGGCUGCGUAACGAGGACAACAUGUUGUUCCGUCCCGGUAGACUCUCUAUGUAUACGAGUGACCUGGUUUACCUGGAUUUCCUAAACGACCGUUAGUACUUCUUGUACAUGGGAUCGAUGUGAAUACGUCUGUUCUACCAACUACACCUGAAAUUGCAGCCUCAGUGAAGCCUGUUCGACUUCUUAAAUCCCACCUUUGGUUCCUUCUACCUCCUCUGUGAGCACCUAACAUAGCUCAGGAUGCUUUUUCGUCCCGAAGAACCCCAAUGUCUGCUGCUUGGUACAGCCGAAGGUAAGUAGAUGGCUUACGGCGGAUAGGUCCUUACUCUUACUAGGGUAUUAACACGGUAACUAAGACGUAAACCGGACUUUGUAGUACUUUACACAAAACGUUUUUAUUCGUGCCCAAUCCAGAGAUAAAGAGCUGAGGAGGUGAUCAGGUAAGUCCUACCUACGUUUACAUUUUUAACACGUAAGCACGAGUGAAGGCAGUUCUCUUUCGCCUGAGACCUCCUCAUGAGAUUUUCAUCACUGACGUCUCAAUACUUGUGAUCAUCAUGUGGGCACGCAACGAUGCCCGAUGUUACGUAUGUUUAUUUAGUGUGUUUACCAGUAUAGGUUGCAGUUUAAAAUAAGGAGUAUGUAGGCUCGUACAAUCCUGUAAUUCGUUCGAGGUGUUUUAAAUUGGCAGACCUAUCAGGGGGGUCCGAUGUUAUGUAUGUUUA
RNAcentral lists this ribosomal RNA (1792 nucleotides) under Triticum aestivum (bread wheat). Its description in RNAcentral is "partial small subunit ribosomal RNA". The record is from RNAcentral. Lineage: Eukaryota; Viridiplantae; Streptophyta; Magnoliopsida; Poales; Poaceae.